This 384-nucleotide ribosomal RNA is filed under the name uncultured Desulfobulbus sp. RNAcentral describes it as "bacterial SSU rRNA". It matches the Rfam family "Bacterial small subunit ribosomal RNA", at positions 1004 to 1382 of the family's 1533-position model. Lineage: Bacteria; Pseudomonadati; Thermodesulfobacteriota; Desulfobulbia; Desulfobulbales; Desulfobulbaceae. The record is from RNAcentral.
AAACUAGGGGGUGCUUCCAUCUGGAAGAAUCUGGAGACAGGUGCUGCAUGGCUGUCGUCAGCUCGUGUCGUGAGAUGUUGGGUUAAGUCCCGCAACGAGCGCAACCCUUGCCUUUAGUUGCCAGCAGUUCGGCUGGGCACUCUAAAGGGACUGCCGGUGUUAAACCGGAGGAAGGUGGGGAUGACGUCAAGUCCUCAUGGCCUUUAUGACCAGGGCUACACACGUACUACAAUGGCCGAUACAAAGGGCAGCGACACUGCGAGGUGAAGCCAAUCCCGUAAAAUCGGUCUCAGUCCGGAUUGGAGUCUGCAACUCGACUCCAUGAAGUUGGAAUCGCUAGUAAUCGUGAAUCAGAAUGUCACGGUGAAUACGUUCCCGGGCCUU